RNAcentral lists this small RNA (715 nucleotides) under Pan troglodytes (chimpanzee). Its description in RNAcentral is "retained intron". The record is from RNAcentral. Lineage: Eukaryota; Metazoa; Chordata; Mammalia; Primates; Hominidae.
ACAGGCCGGGCUGCCUGAGGUUGGCGUUCGGAGUGACCCAGCUAGAGGGGUGCUUCCUCCAGGGCUGCUGAAAGCUGGGGGCCCUAAUGCUGGGUUCUCAUGUCUGUCAGCCUGUUGGGAGCGCUGGUGGCAGCUGGGCUGUCAGAUCACUGCACCAGCUUUCCUGUGGCCCCUUCCUCAAAGGGACUGUGAGCAGGCUGUGGUCCACGUGGAGACCACCUUGUACCUGGUGCCCUGUUUGAACGAUUGUGGACCCUAUGGCCAGUGCCUCCUGCUCCGCAGACACAGCUACCUGUAUGCCAGCUGCAGCUGCAAGGCAGGCUGGCGUGGGUGGAGCUGCACGGACAAUAGCACAGCCCAGACGGUGGCCCAGCAGAGGGCGGCCACACUGCUGCUCACGCUCAGCAACCUCAUGUUCCUGGCCCCCAUCGCCGUCUCAGUGCGGCGAUUCUUCCUGGUGGAGGCUUCCGUCUACGCCUACACCAUGUUCUUCUCCACGGUAGGCUGGCCCCUCCUGCAGGGAUGUGGGGUGGGAGGGCAGGACCGCGCUCAUGGAGCCUCCCCACAGUUCUACCAUGCCUGCGACCAGCCUGGGGAGGCGGUGCUGUGCAUCCUCAGCUACGACACGCUGCAGUACUGCGACUUCUUGGGCUCCGGGGUGGCCAUCUGGGUCACCAUCCUGUGCAUGGCACGGCUCAAGACAGUCCUGAAAUAC